Callithrix jacchus (white-tufted-ear marmoset) is the source of this 288-nucleotide unclassified non-coding RNA. It matches the Rfam family "Metazoan signal recognition particle RNA". Rfam says of the family: The signal recognition particle (SRP) is a universally conserved ribonucleoprotein. It is involved in the co-translational targeting of proteins to membranes. Lineage: Eukaryota; Metazoa; Chordata; Mammalia; Primates; Cebidae. The record is from Ensembl.
GCCGGGUGCGGUGGCACAUGCCUAUAGUCCCAGAUAUUCAGGAGGCUGAGGCUGGAGGAUUGCUUGAGUCCAGGAGUUCUGGGCUGUAGUAUGCUAUGCCGAUCGGGUGCCCACACUAAGUUCAGCAUCAAUAUGGUGACCUCCCGGGAGCGGGGGACCACCAGAUUGCCUAAGGAGGGGUGAACCGGCCUAGGUCGGAAACGGAGCAAAACUCCCGUGCUGAUCAGUAGUGGGACCGCGCCUGUGAAUAGCCACUGCACUCCAGCCUGGGCAACAUAGCCCAGACCA